ACGUAACAAGCACGAUGGUGCGGACUGGAGGGGAUCGCCCCUGGACUGGACCGCCAGACCUACGGAGCAGCAGUAGGAUCUCGCAUGACGAAGUCGACGGAGCACGCCGCGUGAGUGAUGAGUUUCGGAUCGUAAAGCUCUGUUGUUAGGGAGAACAAGUACCGUUCGAUAGGGCGGUACCUGACGGUACCUAACCAGAAAGCACGGCUAACUACGUGCCAGCAGCCGCGGUAAUACGUAGGUGGCAAGCGUUGUCCGGAAUUAUUGGGCGUAAAGGGCUCGCAGGCGGUUUCUUAAGUCUGAUGUGAAAGCCCCCGGCUCAACCGGGGAGGGUCAUUGGAAACUGGGGAACUUGAGUGCAGAAGAGGAGAGUGGAAUUCCACGUGUAGCGGUGAAAUGCGUAGAGAUGUGGAGGAACACCAGUGGCGAAGGCGACUCUCUGGUCUGUAACUGACGCUGAGGAGCGAAAGCGUGGGGAGCGAACAGGAUUAGAUACCCUGGUAGUCCACGCCGUAAACGAUGAGUGCUAAGUGUUAGGGGGUUUCCGCCCCUUAGUGCUGCAGCUAACGCAUUAAGCACUCCGCCUGGGGAGUACGGUCGCAAGACUGAAACUCAAAGGAAUUGACGGGGGCCCGCACAAGCGGUGGAGCAUGUGGUUUAAUUCGAAGCAACGCGAAGAACCUUACCAGGUCUUGACAUCCUCUGACAAUCCUAGAGAGUAGGACGUCCCCUUCGGGGGCAGAGUGACAGGUGGUGCAUGGUGAGAUCGUGAUUCGUGCCUCCGGAGCUCUCU
This 793-nucleotide ribosomal RNA is filed under the name Bacillus subtilis. RNAcentral describes it as "bacterial SSU rRNA". It matches the Rfam family "Bacterial small subunit ribosomal RNA", at positions 281 to 1080 of the family's 1533-position model. Lineage: Bacteria; Bacillati; Bacillota; Bacilli; Caryophanales; Bacillaceae. The record is from RNAcentral.